GGAUGUACGGGUGACUGCAGACAUCUGCCCUGCCCCAUUGGUCAUGAGGGGUGAUUCUGCAGAUUUGGCUACUUCAGUGAAUGUCCUCUUCCUCCCUCACCUCACCAAGUGUGUCCCUCCUGAAGCUGCAUGUGAGGUUGAAGGAUGACCUUCCCAAGUAGAGGAGGGCUGGCCUUCAGUCAGAGAUGUGUAAGAAGCUGCGUUCCCUGAUAGAACCUACAAAAAAAGCACUCAGAAAAAGAAGACAAAGAUGAAAGAUUUAAGCAAUCAGUGAUGAUAGGAUUGAAGAAAAUUAGCCUAUAUAUC
Molecule: small nuclear RNA, 306 nt
Filed under: Peromyscus maniculatus bairdii (prairie deer mouse)
Lineage: Eukaryota; Metazoa; Chordata; Mammalia; Rodentia; Cricetidae
Description: 7SK RNA (ENSPEMG00000002681.2)
Rfam family: 7SK RNA
About the family: 7SK was discovered as an abundant small nuclear RNA in the mid-70s but a possible function has only recently been suggested. Two independent studies have found that 7SK RNA binds the CDK9/cyclin T complex (known as elongation factor P-TEFb).
Source: RNAcentral